This 994-nucleotide ribosomal RNA is filed under the name uncultured bacterium. RNAcentral's name for it is "bacterial SSU rRNA". It matches the Rfam family "Bacterial small subunit ribosomal RNA", at positions 195 to 1200 of the family's 1533-position model. The record is from RNAcentral.
CUUUUUCGAAAGGUAUACUUAAAGAGGGGCUUGCGCCACAUUAGUUAGUUGGUAGGGUAAAAGCCUACCAAGACGAUGAUGUGUAGCUGAACUGAGAGGUUGAACAGCCACAUUGGGACUGAGACACGGCCCAAACUCCUACGGGAGGCAGCAGUAGGGAAUUUUCGGCAAUGGAGGAAACUCUGACCGAGCAACGCCGCGUGAACGAUGAAGUACUUCGGUAUGUAAAGUUCUUUUAUCGAAGAAGAAAACGUAGUGGAAAAACUACCUUGACGCUAUUCGAUGAAUAAGCCCCGGCUAACUAUGUGCCAGCAGCCGCGGUAAUACAUAGGGGGCGAGCGUUAUCCGGAAUUAUUGGGCGUAAAGGGUGCGUAGGCGGUUUGAUAAGUCUCUAGUUUAAAUUCAGUGCUUAACGCUGUCCUGCUAGAGAAACUGUCUGACUUGAGUAAGAUAGAGGCAAGCGGAAUUCCAUGUGUAGCGGUAAAAUGUGUAAAUAUAUGGAGGAACACCAGAGGCGUAGGCGGCUUGCUGGGUCUUUACUGACGCUGAGGCACGAAAGCGUGGGGAGCAAACAGGAUUAGAUACCCUGGUAGUCCACGCCGUAAACGAUGAGUACUAAGUGUCGGGGUUCAUCCCUCGGUACUGAAGUCAACACAUUAAGUACUCCGCCUGAGUAGUACGUACGCAAGUAUGAAACUUAAAGGAAUUGACGGGAUCCCGCACAAGCGGUGGAUCAUGUUGUUUAAUUCGAAGAUACACGAAAAACCUUACCAGGUCUUGACAUACUCUGCAAAGCUAUAGAAAUAUAGUGGAGGUUAUCAGGGAUACAGGUGGUGCAUGGUUGUCGUCAGCUCGUGUCGUGAGAUGUUAGGUUAAGUCCUAAAACGAGCGCAACCCUUGUCGUUAGUUGCCAGCAUGUAAUGAUGGGGACUUUAACGAGACUGCCAGUGAAAAAAUUGGAGGAAGGUGAGGAUUACGUCAAAUCAUCAUGCCC